AAACUUCGCAUAGAAAAUACCAUCUGCAUCCAGAAAGAACUACAGAGAUUGAAUGGAUAUGAUUUUCCUUUGAGUACUGCUUUAGUUACAUCCCAGAAAUUUCGAUACUGUAUUUCGAGCAUAGAAGUUUAAUACUGAUAUUGGUUUGUUGUUGAUUCCUACCAUCAUCAGGUGGAUGGAUCUGAAUCUUGUAGGAAGUCAGGACAUCCAGGAGGUGGAAGUAAGGAGGGAGAACAUUCCAGCCACCUGGGAACACCAGUGAAAAUGGCCACAGUUGGAAGAUACGGAGCAUUCUGGAUGAAGGACUGCAACACUGGAUUGUCAGGUAUCCGGGAUCAGAGGAACAGGACCGGCACCACCAGCUUAACCACCUCAAUGUGACUCCCCAAGAAAAGGUAAAGUCAUCCCUGGAUGUGUGACCUGGUCAGACAUGCACUUUAAGAAGAUCACUUUGGAAGCUGAAUAGAGGAUGUAAGAGUGGGAAAAGACUUGAAACCAGGGAAUGAUCAAGAAAGGCUAGCUACAAUCCAAGUUGUGAGGUGGUUAGGAGCUGCAUCAGGGCAACAUCUGUUUGGGCAGAGAGAAGGGGACAUAUCUGAAAGAUAUUUUGGAGGUAGAAAAGAUAGGGCUGGCAACAGAUUGGCUAUGGGGGUGGCAGGGGCUUGUGGGUAACACCAAAGUUGUGAGCUUGAGGUAUUGGGAGGAUGGUGAUGUCUGUGACAAUAAAGAGGAUCUUGGGAAAGGGGGAGCAACAAGAUGACUUGAGUUUUGAAUAUAUCUGUUUGAUAACCCCAUUUGAAAUGUUCAAUAGGCAUUUGAUGAUGCAAGAUUGGAGGUCAGGGGAGAAGUUAGGAUUGGAAAAUAGAUCAGAGGAUAAUUUGCAUAAAGAUAAUCGAAUGCAUAGAACUUGCUGUGAUCACCCAAUGAGACAGUAUGGGAAAGAAGAGAAUGUGAAUGGCUUUGAUCUUUUCAAAGAGGUAGGGGCAAAGGAUCUUGAGGAUAAAUGAAAAGGUUUGGAAAAGUCACCAUGAUGAGCGGGAUAGUAAAUCCAUUAAGAUUGUGUAAAAGGAUUGCUUUACAACAGUGAGGGCCUGGUUGAGAUUAUGUAACAAUUUUUAGUGCACAAAUCAGAGUAGUUUCAUGAUUUUCUCCAGUGUCUUUGAGAAGCUUAUGAAUGGGACUAAAGACAGUGGAUUGUGUGAGUGAUCCAAAGGUGACAGGGCAAAUUCAGCAAUAGAAUGAAGGGCACAAGGUACUAGAGAGAAGAGGACAGUGUAGACUUAAACUGGUCUACCGAGGGAUCAAGAUUGGAGAGGUAGGAGAGAAUAGCAAUCAUUCUGGCAACUGUGAGUGGACCAUUUGAGACAGUGAGAUAAAUUAGAAAGCUGUUACAAUAAUUUAGUCAAAAGGUUUUGGGGCCUUUACAAAGAUGAUGGCUGAGUUGGUGAGGAAGAGAUUAUUAAUUAGAUUUUGUGGAAAGUAAAUAGGACAAGACUUAAAAAAAAACAUUGUUCAAGCACAAAGCCAAGAAAGAUAAUGAUGUCAGGGGGCUGGAUUACCGAGAGGGUAUUAGUACCAUAAAUGGUGAUGGGAAAGUUGGUAAGAAGAGAUGAUUUUUAGGAGAAAAAGAAUGAGGUCUGUUUUGAACAUGUGAAGUCUGAGAUGCUUUACAGGACAAAGAAAACUGGAGUUCCAGAAGGAAAUUAUAGCCAGCUAAAUAAACCUGAGAAUCAUCUGUAUAGUGAAAAUAGUUGAACCACUGGAGACUGGAAUCAAAAAGUGAGUAGUAUAGAUGGUAAAGAGAUGAGAAACCCACAAGAGAUGCUUGGGGGAUACUAAGUUAGUGGUAUGACGUUUUUGAAGAUGCAGCAAAGGAAAUGGAGAAGGAACCUUUCCGAUAGAUGGGAAGAGAACCAGGAGUGAACAAUGGCAUGAAAAUUCUGAGAGGUUGAUGGUAUUCAGAAAAAUUACCCCAAUUCUCAAAGAUAGUCCUGAAGUGUGGAGAAAAUGUCUAAGAAUUCUAGACUUUCAAGCCUCCAAAGUGAAGCAUGGGGCUUGUGUAUUCUUGAACUCUAAGACUCUGAGUUGAAGCCUCACUUCCCUUCUAAUCUUGGCUGCAUUGGUUUUAUCUGUACAACAUUUUAAAAAUUUAAUAGAAUCAAAAUGAUCCAUUUUACAUUUCAUAAUGUUCUCCUAGUUCUUUUUUGGCCAUAAAUCCCUUCCUUCCCCACAGAUCUGAGGUAGACUAUCCAUUUUGGCCUCCAGGUCUCCAGAGCCUCAUGUCUAAAUGUCAUGAGGCUUCUAUAAAUUUUGGGAUUUCAGAAGACUUCAAGACUUUAGGCCUAAGUCUUGAAGUUUUUAAUCCUCUAGAAUUCUUAGAUUCGAUGUUUCUAUGUUUCUAGUGUUUCAGGCUUUCCCACAUAGGUCUCAAGGGUGCUAGUCUUGUAGGCCUUCAGGUUUCCCAGGUAUCCAAGUGUAAAUCUCCAUCAUGAGCUUCUAUGUCUUGAAAUCUUUUGAACUUUAAGUCUAUGUCCAUCAGUUAACCAAUAAGCUUUUGUUCAAUUCAUUCUGUAUGACAAACUCUGCUAGGUGCCAGGGAAACAAGAGCUGAUCAAUUGGAAAAGAGAACAGGUAAUUUUGUCAAUUUAUACAUACAGGACAUGGAGACAUAGGACAAAGACAGUAGGCAAUGCAAAUAUAGGUAAAAAGAAAAAUGAGAAGGUAUCUGUUUAGGAGAAUGGGAGAACAGUAUGGAGACUCCAGAAUAAGACUGGGAGGAGUGUAAGAGUAAAUAUGACUAGCCUUGACACUUCUUUAAAAUGGAGGUUCUAGAAGGAGCUCACCAAUUGGAGCAAAGUAGAGAUGAGAAGGCAGCAGGAGUAGAAGCAUUUUCAAGGGUAAAAAGGCCCCUGGGGCAUGAUGGGGAAAAUCUGGAGAAUAAGGAGUGGAGCUAAAAAGGGGGAGAAGAACAGGAAAGAGAAACUUAGAGAAAUAGGAGUACAUGGAUGGAGAUACUAGGACAGGAAGGAGGAGCAUAUAGGGACAUUGAUAAAUGAGGAACAACCAGCUGGGAAGAUUUAAACAAAAAGCAAAACCAACAGCAUAGGUAGGUGGAAAGACACUUGGGGGGGGAACCCAUAUAGACUGAGGAAUAUAUAGAAAUUGAAGAUCUACGCUUAGGAAAGCAUGAAGGAGAAAGUUACACAGCUGGAGGUACUACUUGUAGGUAGCUUCAGGGCCCCGUGGAUAGUUAGAGGACAAGACAGGCAAUAUAUGGGGAGAUACCAAAUAUGUAUAUGGGAAUACAUAAAUCAGACAGUCAAAAGACAUACCAGGACACAAUGGCAGAAAAGACAGAUAUGGACACAGAAUAAUAUAGGGAGUAAUUAUAGUUAGGGGAAGCACAUGGAUAUGGGAAAAUACACAUGAGGGGCAGGUACAUAGUUGUGGCUAUCUGUGGAAAACCUAAGGACCCCAUGAAUCACCAAGAGGUGAACAUGCAGCCAAAGGAAAAUAUAUAGAGGACACAAAAUAUGAGGGCCACAUCACUUAGUGUCAGGCAAUUUCCCACCCUUCUCUCACUUCUUACAUGUAAAGAGGGAAAUGGAAAUAAGGAGAGAAAAAGGUACAUGACGGGAGGAAGAAAAGAAAUAUAUAACAUUUAUAGCCAUGAAUGUGAGUGAGAUGAACUCCUUCUAUAAAAUGAAGAAGAGAAUAAAUUAGAAAAUAAAAUACCCAACAAUGUUUAAAAUAAAAAACCUGAAAUACCAAGAUUCACAGAUAGUUGAAAUGAAAGGCUUGAGCAAGAUCUAUUUUGCUUCAACUGAAUUAAAAACAAAGAUAGUGGUGAAAAAUUG
This is a long non-coding RNA of Sarcophilus harrisii (Tasmanian devil), 3857 nucleotides long. RefSeq lists it as uncharacterized. The transcript has 6 exons. NCBI's taxonomy places the organism in Eukaryota, Metazoa, Chordata, Mammalia, Dasyuromorphia, Dasyuridae. The record is from RefSeq and is a predicted model, not a curated record.